This is an RNA transcript of Myzus persicae (green peach aphid), 2692 nucleotides long. It is a transcript of the gene named D-2-hydroxyglutarate dehydrogenase, mitochondrial-like, with no coding region annotated. The record is from RefSeq and is a predicted model, not a curated record. The transcript is spliced from 8 exons. NCBI's taxonomy places the organism in Eukaryota, Metazoa, Arthropoda, Insecta, Hemiptera, Aphididae.
UAUACACAUAUAGUAUAUACAUCAACGACGGUUCGGCAGUGCAUUGCAACGAAUAGACGCCCACGGGUAUAUAAUAUUUACUUACUUACUCUUAGCCGAUCCGCGGUAUAAUAAUAAAUACUAUACUAUACUAAUAAUAAUAAUAUUUUCAACACGAAUUGACUGUACGUUUUAUUCGCCGUUGUCAUCUAUAUCGUGAUUUAUUUGAUUUAUUCAUCCAAUACAACGUCCUUCCGGUUUAGUUUCGACACUGGUUCGUACACCAUCACCUGACGCCGUGACAGUGCAGCGGUCACGCACCAUCGUCAGCACCUAUAAUAUAUAGGUACCUUUAUCGGCUAUUGUCAAUACACCGACACUUAUCGUCAUCAUUAUGUACUCGUCGAAACCCGUGACCUAUGUCAGAAGGCUGCUUUUGCAUCGGACAAUUCAGUUCCGACGGAAGAAGUCGUCGGCUGGGGCAGCGGAAUCGAACGCAAAGGUCGUAAACGACGUACGCCACGUCCGGGGCGAGUAUAGCAGCGUGACCCACGUCGACGUCCUUCACUUCCGGUCGUUGCUGGGCGAACCAAACGUGCUGACCGGCGCCCAAAACGUCGGGCCGUACAACGUGGAUUACAUGAAACACGCGUCGGGCGAUAGCGGGCUGGUGUUAAGACCGAAAACCGCAGAAGACGUGUCGGACAUACUGAAGUACUGCAACGACAGGAGCAUUGCGGUGUGCCCACAGGCUGGCAACACGAGCUUGUCGUGCGGUAGCGUGGCGCUAUUCGACGAGGUGGUCUUAUCCACGGAGCGGAUGAACAAAAUAAUUAAUUUCGAUCCCGUGUCCGGGGUGUUGGUUUGCGAGGCGGGAUGCGUGCUCGAGUCGUUGAUGAAGCACGUACAUGGUCACGGAUACAUGAUGCCGUUGGACUUGGGGUCAAAGGGCAGUUGUCAGAUCGGCGGCAACGUGUCGACCAACGCCGGCGGCAUACGCGUCAUACGUUACGGCACGCUGCAGGGGUGCGUCUUGGGCCUAGAAGCCGUCACCGCGAAUGGUACAAUUUUGGACUGUUUGAAUACAAUGCGAAAAGACAACACAGGAUACCAUUUGAAGCAUUUAUUCAUUGGUUCAGAAGGCACGUUGGGCAUUGUCACCAAAGUAGCGAUAUUGUGUCCAAAUCUUCCGAAGCACGUAAACGUGGCAUUUAUUGGAUUGGACAGUUACGAUAAAGUGCUCAAAUUGUUUUCCAUUGCUCGUGCCGAGUUUGGAGAAACCUUAUCGUCGUUUGAACUCCUGGACAAAACGGCUGUGACGUACGUGGAAAGCAAACUUCACCUCUCAUGUCCGAUCACCAAUAUCCAUCCUUUCUAUGUACUCAUCGAACUCGCUUCCAGUCAACCGACUGUCGGCCAACACAUGGAAAAUGUCCUGGAAAAAGCUCUCGGUGACUCGGUGAUCUCCGAUGCCACAACGACCGAUCAGAUGUCCAGCAUACACAAAAUAUGGAAAGUUCGUGAGACAGUAAUUGAAGCAUUAUUAAAGUUGGGCUACGUAUACAGCUUCGAUAUAUCGGUACCUCUGAGCCGAUUUUAUGAAAUUGUUGAGCUAACCAGAGAAAAACUUAAGGACAUAGCAGUUGUCAAAACCGUUUGUGGAUUUGGUCACAUAGGCGACGGUAAUUUGCAUCUAAACGUUGUGACAUCGCAGCGAGACGAAGAACUGGCUCGGAUGAUUGAGCCGUUCAUUUACGGGUGGACGUCCAAGUACCGCGGAAGCGUCAGCGCCGAGCACGGCAUCGGUUUGUCAAAAACGAAAUAUUUGGAGCACACUAAGAGUGGGCCGGCCGUCGACCUUAUGCGGAGCCUGAAAAAUACCAUGGACCCAAAGUGUAUAUUGAACCCUUACAAAGUGAUCCCGGCCGUGGCGACCGGCGAUCAGUAAUCCGGGAUCGGAAAAAAACAUAAUAUUUUUAUAUUUAUAAUAUAACUUGUACGUCACACGUGGUAAUAAACUUUGGUACGUAUAAAAUGGAUAGCAGUAAUACGAGUGUGUACACGACACCCAUAUUCUUUUUAUUUGAUUUGUACAGUAAAUUUUAUCAUUCUGUAAAAUGCGAUAUAAAUUGUUGGAGUUUCAAACAAAAAUGUUGAACAAGAAAAUAAUUACACUACACAUUUAGUGAACAAAACAAACAAGGAUAUUAUAAGACGUAAUGUUUCAAAUAAAGUAAGAAAUUUUAUUUUAUUUCAUUUUUUAAAAAUAAAAUUAUCUCUCUUUUGUGUUUGCUAAAUACAAUUCUUUGAUUGUUUAAAGAAAUAAUCCAAUAAAUACACAAUUUUCCUCGUUUUUUAUUUCAGUUAAGAUACGUUAUUUAUGACAGUUAUAAUGAUGCUGACAGCCACUAGUUGAUGGUUGAGUGUGCGAAAUAAAACCAAUAAAAAAAUAUUUAACGAGUUCACUUAUUACUUCUCCGGUCACACAAAAUUUGAUAAGCUUAACGGCUCAUUUAAAUCGAAUGGCCCAAUCAUAGGUCGUUGUUCAAUGUUUAAGGAACUGUUCAAUAUUUGAUGAUCCGUUUAACUGUAAUGGAUAUUUUUGGUUUCUGUAACGCGGCAUUUAUAUUAUACAUUCUAAAAAUACUUGAGCAAAUUUCAAAUCAAGAAAAUUAAUUUAAGUUAUAUGUAAAUAAACUAUUCACCAUUAAAA